AGGAAUAAGGGCUGGGUAAGACGGGUGCCAGCCGCCGCGGUAAUACCUGCAGCCCAAGUGGUGGUCGAUUUUAUUGAGUCUAAAACGUUCGUAGCCGGUUUGGUAAAUCUUUGGGUAAAUCGGGAAGCUUAACUUUCCGACUUCCGAAGAGACUGUCAAACUUGGGACCGGGAGAGGCUAGAGGUACUUCUGGGGUAGGGGUAAAAUCCUGUAAUCCUAGAAGGACCACCGGAGGCGAAGGCGUCUAGCUAGAACGGAUCCGACGGUGAGGGACGAAGCCCUGGGUCGCAAACGGGAUUAGAUACCCCGGUAGUCCAGGGUGUAAACGCUGCAGACUUGGUGUUGGGGACCCUUCGGGGGUGUUCGGUGCCGGAGAGAAGUUGUUAAGUCUGCUACUUGGGGAGUACGUCCGCAAGGAUGAAACUUAAAGGAAUUGGCGGGGGAGCACCGCAACGGGAGGAACGUGCGGUUUAAUAGGAUUCAACACCGGAAAACUCACCAGCAGCGACUAUUACAUGAAAGUCAGGCCGAUGACCUUACUAGAUUUUUAGAGAGGUGGUGCAUGGCCGUCGUCAGUUCGUACCCUAAGGCGUUCUCUUAAGUGAGAUAACGAACGAGGCCCUCACCAAUAAUUGCUACUGCGUCGUCCGCGGCGUAGGCACAUUAUUGGGACCGCUGGCGCUAAGUCAGAGGUAGGAGAGGUCAACGGUAGGUCAGUAUGCCCCGAAUCUGCUGGGCUACACGCGCGUUACAAAGGGCGGGACAAUGGGCUCCGACGCCGAGAGGCGAAGGCAAUCUCGAAACCCGUCCGUAGUUCGGAUUGAGGGUUGUAACUCACCCUCAUGAAGCUGGAUUCCGUAGUAAUC
This 866-nucleotide ribosomal RNA is filed under the name uncultured methanogenic archaeon. RNAcentral's name for it is "bacterial SSU rRNA". It matches the Rfam family "Archaeal small subunit ribosomal RNA", at positions 431 to 1299 of the family's 1478-position model. Lineage: Archaea; Methanobacteriati; Methanobacteriota. The record is from RNAcentral.